UUAAAUUGAAGAGUUUGAUCAUGGCUCAGAUUGAACGCUGGCGGCAGGCCUAACACAUGCAAGUCGAACGGUAACAGGAAGCAGCUUGCUGU
RNAcentral lists this ribosomal RNA (92 nucleotides) under Salmonella enterica. RNAcentral describes it as "partial 16S ribosomal RNA". It matches the Rfam family "Bacterial small subunit ribosomal RNA", at positions 1 to 89 of the family's 1533-position model. The record is from RNAcentral. Lineage: Bacteria; Pseudomonadati; Pseudomonadota; Gammaproteobacteria; Enterobacterales; Enterobacteriaceae. RNAcentral also lists the same sequence under 1 other name.